This 347-nucleotide unclassified non-coding RNA is filed under the name soil metagenome. RNAcentral describes it as "partial contains 5.8S ribosomal RNA, internal transcribed spacer 2, and large subunit ribosomal RNA". The stretch from base 1 to 120 matches the Rfam family "5.8S ribosomal RNA", at positions 35 to 154 of the family's 154-position model. The record is from RNAcentral.
GAUGAAGAACGUAGCGAAAUGCGACAAGUAAUGUGAAUUGCAGAAUUCCGUGAAUCAUCGAAUCUUUGAACGCACAUUGCGCCCGCUAGUAUUCUGGCGGGCAUGCCUGUCCGAGCGUCAUUUCAACCCUCAAGCCCCUCCGGGGGCCUGGCGUUGGGGAUCGGCCCCGCUCCGGCGGCCGGCCCCGAAAUGUAGUGGCGGUCUCGCCGCUGCCUCCUCUGCGUAGUAGAAACACCUCGCAUUGGGACGCGGCGGGCCCACGCCGUUAACCAGAUGAAUUUUUUCAAGGUUGACCUCGGAUCAGGUAGGAAUACCCGCUGAACUUAAGCAUAUCAAUAAGCGGAGGA